Long non-coding RNA from Drosophila miranda, 940 nucleotides. RefSeq lists it as uncharacterized. The transcript is spliced from 2 exons. NCBI's taxonomy places the organism in Eukaryota, Metazoa, Arthropoda, Insecta, Diptera, Drosophilidae. The record is from RefSeq and is a predicted model, not a curated record.
CAGUUAAUAAAAACGCUUAGCAUCUUAACAAAAAUAAUAAAAUAAAGUAUUAAAAGAGUAGCUUCAGGGAUUGAUUUAAAAAUUUCUUGUAUCUAUGAAGAACUUUCAUUUCCACAUCUCUGUUGCGCUGUUAACAUCCGUGUAAUGUUACAUUUUCCUCACAUUAUAAGAAAUCAGCUUUAUAUGGAUUGUAGGCACAGUUGAAUAGAAGGAAUACGUGUGAUAAGUCAUGGAGAUAUUGGAGCUCAGACUUUUGCUGGUUGUCUUGGGGACUAUCUAUAUGCCGAUCCCAAUACACUGCGGUAGUAAUCAAUGCUUUCCUGUUGUAACCCCCGAUUGCCAUGAUAUUACAGACAACAACGAGAAUGGAACAGGGAACAUCCACCAAAAUAUCUGGACUAUGACGAUUAUUCCGGCCCUGGGAUGGGAUCCUCUUGGAUUUGGCAGCCAGAGCACAAUUCAUACACGAAACGCCUAACGUAUAGUCAAGUCCAGGUCAAAGGUUAUCCAGACUCUAGUACGAAAGGAAAAACUAACGCAGGAGACUCUACCAAGAAAGGUCUAGACCCCUCUUGGAUUUGGCAGCCAAAACACAAUUCAUUCACAAAACUCCUAAAUUUAAGUCAACUGCUAGUGGGCUUCAAAAGGAAACCUAACAGAGUAAAGAAAAGCCGUAGGCUUAGAAGCAUGAACCUUCCUAGAAGAUCAGUAAUAAGGAAGCUUUUAAGAGGAUAAGUUGACCCUACUUGAUAAAAUUUUGAUAAAACGACUGGUGCUCCCGUUUUCACAAAACGCAAGAUUGUUCCAUUUUCAAAAUGGAAGCAUUUUCCUCGCCGAAAUGAAAAGUAAAGUUAAGUUAACGUACAACAAAACUAAUCGUGAUUGCAAAAGAAAUGAGGGACGGACGGACGGACAUGGCUCAAUCGACUCGGCUAAUAAU